This 253-nucleotide ribosomal RNA is filed under the name uncultured bacterium. Its description in RNAcentral is "partial 16S ribosomal RNA". It matches the Rfam family "Bacterial small subunit ribosomal RNA", at positions 524 to 776 of the family's 1533-position model. The record is from RNAcentral.
UACGAAGGAUGCGAGCGUUAUCCGGAUUUAUUGGGUUUAAAGGGUGCGUAGGCGGUCUUAUAAGUCAGUGGUGAAAUCUUGUCGCUUAACGACAAACGUGCCAUUGAUACUGUAGGACUUGAGUACAGAUGCCGUUGGCGGAAUGUGUCAUGUAGCGGUGAAAUGCUUAGAUAUGACAUAGAACACCCAUUGCGAAGGCAGCUAACUACGCGAUCAUUGACGCUGAUGCACGAAAGCGUGGGGAGCAAACAGG